Molecule: non-coding RNA, 253 nt
Organism: Cinara cedri
Lineage: Eukaryota; Metazoa; Arthropoda; Insecta; Hemiptera; Aphididae
Source: the annotation of a GenBank genome assembly
UAUGGUUAUAAUGAAAUUCCAACCCAUCAUUUACGUAUCAACUCAGUGUGCCUAUAAAAAACCUCUAAUACUCGCGUUUGAACUUAGUUGGUUUAGAGAGGAAGCCACUAAAAGUGUGAAAGAUUAGCAGGUAAAAGACAUAUAAAUAUACUAACCCGUUGACACGAUAUUCUACUUUUAAGUUUAUGUAAAGAGAGAGUAGUUGAGCACUAAUGAAACGUCGUGUACUGUGCUGCCACACAAGUAAUACUCC